AACGAACGCUGGCGGCAUGCCUAACACAUGCAAGUCGAACGAGACCUUCGGGUCUAGUGGCGCACGGGUGCGUAACGCGUGGGAAUCUGCCCUUGGGUUCGGAAUAACAGUGAGAAAUUACUGCUAAUACCGGAUGAUGCCUUCGGACCAAAGAUUUAUCGCCCAGGGAUGAGCCCGCGUAGGAUUAGCUAGUUGGUGGGGUAAUGGCCUACCAAGGCGACGAUCCUUAGCUGGUCUGAGAGGAUGAUCAGCCACACUGGGACUGAGACACGGCCCAGACUCCUACGGGAGGCAGCAGUGGGGAAUAUUGGACAAUGGGCGCAAGCCUGAUCCAGCAAUGCCGCGUGAGUGAUGAAGGCCUUAGGGUUGUAAAGCUCUUUUACCCGGGAUGAUAAUGACAGUACCGGGAGAAUAAGCUCCGGCUAACUCCGUG
RNAcentral lists this ribosomal RNA (433 nucleotides) under uncultured bacterium. Its description in RNAcentral is "partial 16S ribosomal RNA". It matches the Rfam family "Bacterial small subunit ribosomal RNA", at positions 29 to 507 of the family's 1533-position model. The record is from RNAcentral.